Molecule: long non-coding RNA, 857 nt
Organism: Polypterus senegalus (gray bichir)
Lineage: Eukaryota; Metazoa; Chordata; Cladistia; Polypteriformes; Polypteridae
Exons: 3
Source: RefSeq, a predicted model, not a curated record
UGCGAAUGGCUGCCUAGUCAAAAAAUGCGCUCCGACACUGCAACCAACUUUGAAGAUGCGCCAUCCCGUUGUGACAAAAUGAAAUAAUUAAAUUCGUAAAUAAAUACUGUGAAACGUGAGAAUAAAUAAAUACGAACAACAUGAAAAUUGACACCGCACACAAUAUGAAAUAAGUCCUGCAAUCUCAAGUCAAGUGGCUUUAUUGUCAUUCCAUCCUUACUCACUACUGCAGCAUAUAACGCCCCUUGGACUGGUGUGCAACGUAUACACAGACAAAAGGACAAAAACAAUACAGUCUGAGAAGGAGAAAAUAAAGUGAGGACAAUGUCAACAGAAAAAACCACAUCAGAUCUGGGCAUCGCCAUUUAAUAAACCGUAUAUAAAGGUACAUCUGUUAAAAAUGAGUCUUGUGGUGGACUGGCGCCUUGUCUAGAGUUGGCUCCUGCUUUGUGCCCAAUGCUGCCUGUAAUAAAUCUUGGCUGCACCUGCCCACAACUUGAAAAUUGAAUUCCAGAUGAUUUAUUGAUGGAUGAACGGAUCGAUGGAGAAAAAAAAAAAAAUCUUCUUCCUUUUCAUCUCUUCCCACUUCUGUGUGGGUUUGAUGUGUUUGUUUAGACCUCUCCAUACAGUUCAAAAUAAUUACACACUGAGGAGUCUGAUAUUGGAAAGUGUUCUGUAUGAAAAACUUAAAGAGUCCUAGUAGACUUGUUACUGUCCAUAGGCAGUAUGAAGGGGGUCAAUAGCAGGGCUGGAUUAAGACGAAACUGGGCCUGAGGCUGCAGCGCAAAAAAAGCAUAUUUUUUCUCAGCAUUGAUGCGUGUGCAUUCGACACUCACCGUACACGCGCACUCAUACUG